Oncorhynchus tshawytscha (Chinook salmon) is the source of this 509-nucleotide long non-coding RNA. NCBI's taxonomy places the organism in Eukaryota, Metazoa, Chordata, Actinopteri, Salmoniformes, Salmonidae. The record is from Ensembl.
GGGUACCGGUACAGAGUCAAUGUGGAGGCUAUAUACAAGGGGUACCGGUACAGAGUCAAUGUGGAGGCUAUAUACAGGGUGUUACGGUACAGAGUCAAUGUGGAGACUAUAUACAGGGGGUACCGGUACAGAGUCAAUGUGGAGACUAUAUACAGGGGGUACCGGUACAGAGUCAAUGUGGAGGCUAUAUACAGGGGGUACCGGUACAGAGUCAAUGUGGAGACUAUAUACAGGGGGUACCAGAACAGAGUCAAUGUGGAGGCUAUAUACAGGGGGUACCGGUACAGAGUCAAUGUGGAGGCUAUAUACAGGGUGUACCAGUACAGAGUCAAUGUGGAGGCUAUAUACAGGGGGUACCAGUACAGAGUCAAUGUGGAGGCUAUAUACAGGGGGUACCAGUACAGAGUCAAUGUGGAGGCUAUAUACAGGGUAUUACGGUACAGAGUCAAUGUGGAGACUAUAUACAGGGUAUUACGGUACAGAGUCAAUGUGGAGGCUAUAUACAGGGG